UACGUAGGGGGCGAGCGUUGUCCGGAAUCAUUGGGCGUAAAGCGCGUGUAGGCGGCCCGGUAAGUCCGCUGUGAAAGUCCAGGGCUCAACCCUGGGAUGCCGGUGGAUACUGUCGGGCUCGAGUCCGGAAGAGGCGAGUGGAAUUCCAGGUGUAGCGGUGAAAUGCGCAGAUAUCAGGAGGAACACCAAUGGCGAAGGCAGCUCGCUGGGACGUGACUGACGCUGAGACGCGAAAGCGUGGGGAGCAAACAGG
This 253-nucleotide ribosomal RNA is filed under the name uncultured bacterium. RNAcentral describes it as "partial 16S ribosomal RNA". It matches the Rfam family "Bacterial small subunit ribosomal RNA", at positions 524 to 776 of the family's 1533-position model. The record is from RNAcentral.